AUCUUGGCUCACCACAACCUCUGCCUCCUGGGUUCAAGCGAUUCUCCUGCCUCAGCCUCCCAAGGAGCUGGGACUAUAGGCAUGCGCCACCAUGCACGGCUAGUUUUGUAUUUUUAGUAGAGAUGGGGUUUCUCCAUGUUGGUCAGGCUGGUCUUGAACUCCCAACCUCAGGUGAUCCUCCCACCUUGGCCUCCCAAAGUGCUGGGAUUACAGUCAGUGAGCCACUGUGCCCGGCCUGUAUUUGUAUUUUUAGUAGAGACAGGGUUUUACCAUGUUGGCCAGGCUGGUCUCCAACUCCUGACCUCAGGUGGUCCGCCCACCUCGGCCUCCCAGUGUGCUAGGAUUGCAGGCGUGAGCUACGGUGCCUGGCCAGUUAAUCAGUUUUUUACCCUCCUGUGUUUAGGCCCCAACAUCCUGUUCUUGAUCUUUUUUGGCAAAAAUUUGGCCAAAGAUUGAAAUUUUGCCUCCUGGACCAUAUAUUUUGCUCCAGUUGCAAAGUAUGACUUUUAUCCUUUGGUCAGCAGUUCCCAUGGUGUUUAGGGCCUGAAUUUGACAUUCUUUUUUUUUUUUCUUUUUGAGAUGGAGUCUAGCUCUGUUGCCCAGGCUGGAGUGCAGUGGCACGAUCUCGGCUUGCCGCAACCUCUGCCUCCCGGCUUCAAGCAGUUCUCCCUGCCUCAGCCUCCCAAAUAUCUGGGAUUACAGGCGCCCACCACCACACCCGGCUAAUUUUUGUAGCUUUUUUUGUUUGUUUGUUUGUUUUUGAGAGUCUCACUCUGUCACCAGACUGGAGUGCAGUGGCGCAGUCUCGGCUCACUGCAACCUCUGCCUCCUGGGUUCAAGCAAUUCUCCUGCCUCAGCUUCCCAAGUAGCUGGGACUACGGGUGGGCACCACCAUGCCUAGCUAAUUUUUUUUCUGUAUUUUUAGUAGAGACGGAGUUUUACCAUAUUGGCCAGGAUGGUCUCGAUCUCUUGACCUUGUGAUGCGCCCGCCUCGGCCUCCCAAAGUGCUGGGAUUACAGGCGUGAGCCACCGUACCUGGCAACAUUCUCUUUUUUUAAAAAAAUAACUUUUUAUUUCUAGCCUCAACCAUUUACACUUUGCUUGAGAAAGAAUAAUAAAGUGGAAUUGUUAUUCCAGUGAUGUUGUGCAAAUGUGAGAAAUAGUACUUCCCCCAAAAAAACAAACCUCGAAACCCCACAAACUCAAGUGUACUUAAGUACUUAACGUUCAAGUACUUUUUAACUAUAACCAACUUUUCCACCACACUGUUGUGAAUAUUUGUUGCUAGCUGUUAUGGGUAUAAGUGAUCAAGGGAAGAACUGAUGCAUUACCUAAUGCUUGACUAAAUAUAGCCAGCCCUUAAGUAGGUAGAGUAUUUGGUUGUGGGUUUUGUUGUUUAAGUCUGUGGAGUCCCUCUUUGGUUUCUUUAACUUUUGCAGUCAUUAGGGCAGAGUAUAUUUAUUUACAUUUCUCCAAGCAAAGUCUUGCUCUGUUGCCCAGGCUGGAGUACGGUGGCGCGAUCUCGGCUCACUACAACCUCUGCCUCCCAGGUUCAAGCAAUUGUCCUGCCUCAGCCUCCCGAGUAGCUGGGAUUACAGAUACCCGCCACGAUGCCUGGCUAAUUUUUGUAUUUUUAAUAGAGACGAGAUUUUGCCAUGUUGGCCAGGCUGGUUUCGAACUUUUGACCUCAAGUGAUCCAUCUGCCUUGGCCUCCCAACGUGCUGGGAUUACAGGCGUGAGCCACCAUGCCUGGCCUAAAUUUACUUUUUAAUAGAGACGAGGCUGGUUAUGUUGCCUGUGUUGGUAACUGUGUUGCCUAGGCUGGUGUCAAGUGCUUGAGCUCAAGUGACCCUCCUGCCUUGGCUUCCCAAAGUGUUAGGAUUACAGGCAUGAAGCCACUGCGCCUGGCCUGUCUAAUCUUUAUUAUGCUUCCCCUCUUUAGAGAUACUUAGUCUGUUUUUCAGAACUAAACCAAUCUGGAACUCCCUGGCUCUCUCUCCUAAAACUCUGAAGUCUAGAGGACCCUGUCUCCUGAGGGCUCUAAGAAAAGCUGUCCAGCUAGCUGUGUCAGUUUGAGAAGCAGUUUUUCCUGAUUGAAUACCUAGGCCCCAGUAGGAAAAAGGGAACAAACUGAAAUUGCUAAUUUGUAAGCCUGGUCUUUUGAGCAGCUCAGUUAAAAUGCUUGACAGAGGACUUAAGUGAAAGGCUAGAGUGGGCUUGGGGUUCAUUUAUCAUCAAAGCCCCCUGUUCAA
This 2252-nucleotide long non-coding RNA is filed under the name Homo sapiens (human). RNAcentral's name for it is "LHRI_LNC224.1". The record is from RNAcentral. Lineage: Eukaryota; Metazoa; Chordata; Mammalia; Primates; Hominidae.